RNAcentral lists this long non-coding RNA (1447 nucleotides) under Equus asinus (donkey). RNAcentral's name for it is "lncRNA (ENSEASG00005024004.1)". Lineage: Eukaryota; Metazoa; Chordata; Mammalia; Perissodactyla; Equidae. The record is from RNAcentral.
GAGCUUGGAGUUUCUCAGUGCAGCGGCAUCUGUGAGAUGCCAUGUGGUCUAACGGGAAGACCAUGGCCUGGAAAGACAAUGGGCUGGGAGUCUGACGGUGCUGAGUAGAGUGAAUGGUUCUUAUUGUUGUAACGACACGCAGCUGCUUUAUUGGUCAUUCAAGAGGAAACUUGUCCCCGUGGCGAGGGAUUUGGACUGAAGCCUGCAGCUGCUUAGCACAGAUGCUGACGAGGCCUCACCUAGGCUUUCCUGCCCACCUGCAGCCGUCAGCUUCCCUCUAACUCUGCAGAUUGACUGCACGCCUUUUUCUCCACUGCCCCUCCAAACCCACUAAGAUAGCCAUAAGGGAAUAAAGUAAGAGGAAGCAACUGGGAGAGCAAAUGCAAAAAAUGUCAACAAAAUUUUGAAAGAUGUAAGGUGUUUGAACAAAGGGCAUCUAAUUUAGUUUUAGCUUUAGCCAUUCUGCUAAGCGUCUACACCUGAAGAAGCCAACAAAACGUAAAUUGAAUCCACCAUGGAUCCUCAAAAGGCAGAGGAUCUGGAAGCACCAGACAUCUCUGAAUCCAGGGGUCAGGAUGGGGCUGAGAAGAAGAGGAUUCACUCGUAAGUCUGUAUAAGAAGGAUCUAGACCCCCAGAUUUUCUCCCUUGCCCCACACAGCCAGGCGCCAUAGCUCCUCUACCAUCCAGCAGAUGACACAUUUGCUAUCUAAAGAGGGUGAACCAGAGAGAUUCUGACCCAGGGGACGUGAAGCAUGGCAGAAGGCAGAAGACAAAGACAUCCUGAAAAGAGGCGACCGCAAUGCAGACUCGAGGGAACCGUCAUUCCAAGGACUUCCAUCAGGAGGAAGGGGAGUGAAAUCAUUCAUGCCAGCUGUGAUUCCGACUUACAUCUCACUGAGCAGGACUGUGUCAUGUGACUGCAUCUGCCAACAAGCGGGGAAACUCUAGACGUCAGAAGUGAGGUGAUCACUGUUUGUGUUGGCCCUGUUGGCAGCAGCAGAACUUUGCAAAUGGUUACUGAUGGUGGUUGGAUAUGAUGUCAUCAGACGUUUCCAAAAGAAAAGCAGUUCGGCCCUGAAAAAUGUAAAUACGAUUUUUGGAGGAGCACUUCACCAUGCAAAAAAUAAUACCCUUACCCUUAAUAUUGUUAAGAAGCCAAAUGGUCUUGGCAAUGACUUCUUGGAUAUGACACCAAAAGCACAGGCAACAGAAGCAAAAACAGACAAGUGGGACCACAGUAAAUUAAAAGGUUCUGCACAGCAAAGAAAACAACCCAUAGAGAGAAAAGGCAACCUACAGAAUGGGGUAAAAUAUUUGUAAACCAAACAUCUGAUAAGGGAUUAAUAUCCAAAGUUAUAAGGAACUCCUACGACUCAAAAGUAAAAAAGCAAGUAACCCAAUUAAAAAAUGGGCAAAGGACUUGAAUAGACAUUUCUCCAAAGAAGA